AAUACGAAACUAAAACCGUAGACAGCGGGUGCGAAAGCUUAAUUUCCCGCCGAGGUACAAUAUAAAAUAUUGACCUUGUCUGUCUAUGCGGACAAGGUUUUUUUAUG
RNAcentral lists this small RNA (107 nucleotides) under human gut metagenome. RNAcentral's name for it is "Ribosomal protein L10 leader". It matches the Rfam family "Ribosomal protein L10 leader". Rfam says of the family: This family is a putative r-protein leader autoregulatory structure found in B. subtilis and other low-GC Gram-positive bacteria. The record is from RNAcentral.